AGCUUUCUGCAGGGGUGGUAUCAUAGCCAAUGAGGUUUACCCUAGGCACAAUUAUUGCUAAUUGAAAACCUUUCCCAAAUAUGGUCAUACCCACAGGUACCAGUGGUUAGGAUUUGACCUACCCGGAGG
This is a small nuclear RNA of Fukomys damarensis (Damara mole-rat), 129 nucleotides long. Its record names the gene U4. It matches the Rfam family "U4 spliceosomal RNA". From Rfam's summary of the family: U4 small nuclear RNA (U4 snRNA) is a component of the major U2-dependent spliceosome. The structure of U4 snRNA from yeast and human has been reported. U4 snRNA presents a k-turn RNA motif in the 5p-SL related to recognition of Snu13 protein. The record is from Ensembl. NCBI's taxonomy places the organism in Eukaryota, Metazoa, Chordata, Mammalia, Rodentia, Bathyergidae.